UAUGUACUCCCUCCGUCCGAAAAUACUUGUUCUAGAAAUAGAUGAAUUUAGACUUAUUUUAGUUAUAGAUACAUCUAUUAUAUUUAUUUUUAGGACAAGUAUUUCCGGACGGAGGGAGUAGUUC
This 124-nucleotide microRNA precursor is filed under the name Hordeum vulgare. RNAcentral describes it as "microRNA MIR1122". It matches the Rfam family "MIR1120/MIR1122 microRNA precursor family". The record is from RNAcentral. Lineage: Eukaryota; Viridiplantae; Streptophyta; Magnoliopsida; Poales; Poaceae.